RNAcentral lists this ribosomal RNA (376 nucleotides) under uncultured bacterium. RNAcentral's name for it is "bacterial SSU rRNA". It matches the Rfam family "Bacterial small subunit ribosomal RNA", at positions 524 to 898 of the family's 1533-position model. The record is from RNAcentral.
UACAGAGGUCUCGAGCGUUGUUCGGAUUUACUGGGCGUAAAGGGAGCGUAGGCGGUUCAGUAUGUCGAAUGUGAAAUCCCACGACUCAACCGUGGAAUGGCAUUCGAAACUGCUGGGCUAGAGUACUGGAGAGGAGAGCGGAAUUCUUGGUGUAGCGGUGAAAUGCGUAGAUAUCAAGAGGAACACCGGUGGCGAAGGCGGCUCUCUGGACAGAUACUGACGCUGAGGCUCUAAAGUUAGGGGAGCAAACAGGAUUAGAUACCCUGGUAGUCCUAACUGUAAACGGUGUACACUUGGUGUGCGAGGAAUUGUCCCUUUGCGCGCCGCAGCUAACGCGUUAAGUGUACCGCCUGGGGAGUACGGUCGCAAGAUUAAA